GCCAUUUCUGAUCAAAGCUUCAAAUCGAGGAGGUUUUUUUUUUCAGGUUCCGAUCCACCACCACCAGGGCGAUAAUGUCUGGUCUCCGCCGUCCGCGUUCUACGGAAUGCGUCGAAGAUUUCGAUAACCAGAGUGCAGUCCGGCGGCCACGACCGGCGAUUAAGAUAUGGUCCCUUAAUCAUGUCCCAGAUGGGGAAGCAGGCCUGAAAUAGCGUGUUUCAGAAUCUUUGAUGGUUCGCUGAAGGUUUGGAAUUUGAGCCAAAUGAAAAAACCUCUCAAGGUGUUUGAUAGUCUCCCAUUAACUAUGCCCAAACAAAUAGUCCUGAUGAGCAAAUCAGAGUUAGAUUUUGUCCGUUUAAGAAGCCAUGGAUAAGAGAAAUGACACGAGACAGACAUGGAACAAAAACAAAAAACUCCUUCCAGAUAUAUGACAAAGUUAGAUUUUGACAAAUACCUUCUUCAUUUAGAAGCUAGGUAUGUUUCUGUGCUGCAAUUUUAUAAUUCGAGCAAUAUAUCUAAUCUAUGGAUAAGGUAUCCAUUUGUUUGCUUCUUUUAUCUAAUUUAAUUGAACUUUGUAAAACUAGAUUGAAUUGAAAGCAUUGGCUGAAGAAAUGCAAGCAGUGAGUAUAUAGGUCCUGAUAAACUGGAGCAAGAGCUAACUGCUUCAAAAACGUCCAUAUUAGUUUCAACCUAUCAGAGUAGCUGAAAGCCAGCUUUCCUUCUCACAGGCCAUCCUCCCUUGAGACAGGGUCUCACAUUCUGUGACUUGUGAUUGACCUCUCAGAUGGCUUUUUCAUGUUCAUACAAAGACAUAUUUGGAUUGUGCAAUCCUUAGAGAUGAAAUGGAAAUGUCGGCUGAUGUGCUUACCGCAUGUUUGCUUUUGAGGUUGCUGACCCAUAUCUUUAUCUGAUAAAAUUUCCCUUCGUCAGCUGGAUGAUCGAACCUGAUCAUGUUUCAAAUGAUUCUGUGCUGAUACACAAACCUCUUUGGGCUACAUUCAUGGAUACAGCUAUUUGUUCAAUUCUGCCCCUAGUUUUCCAUUAUUAUUUUUAUUAUUAUUAUACUUUCUAACUUUAAUAUUAUUUUCAAUCUUUUUCUUAAA
Non-coding RNA from Momordica charantia (bitter melon), 1103 nucleotides. Lineage: Eukaryota; Viridiplantae; Streptophyta; Magnoliopsida; Cucurbitales; Cucurbitaceae. The record is from RefSeq and is a predicted model, not a curated record.